CCGAAUGGGGCAACCCUCUCAUGUGAAAGCAUGAGAACCCGUCAGUGAGUAAAGUAGCUGGCGAGGAGCGAACCGAGGGAACUGAAACAUCUAAGUACCUCGAGGAAAAGAAAUCAACAGAGAUUCUGCUAGUAGCGGCGAGCGAACGCAGAUUAGGCCAAACCAUCAUGCGUGCAUGGUGGGGUUGUAGGACCUGCAUCAAGGGGAAGUUGCUAGAAGAAGUGUCUGGGAAGUCACACCAAAGAGAGUGAAAGUCUCGUAUUCGAAAGCGAUGGAACUGGGCGGGUAUCCUGAGUAGGACGGGGCACGUGAAACCCUGUCUGAAUCUGGGAAGACCACUUUCCAAGCCUAAAUACUACCUACGACC
RNAcentral lists this ribosomal RNA (367 nucleotides) under uncultured bacterium. RNAcentral's name for it is "bacterial LSU rRNA". It matches the Rfam family "Bacterial large subunit ribosomal RNA", at positions 114 to 485 of the family's 2925-position model. The record is from RNAcentral.